CUGCGAGUAUUGUAGCAAUACAAGGCAGACGGCUCAGUAACGCGUAGUCAAUCUACCCUAUGGACGGGAAUAACCUCGGGAAACUGAGAAUAAUGCCCGAUAGAACAUUAUGCCUGGAAUGGUUUAUGUUUCAAAUGAUUUAUCGCCAUAGGAUGGGACUGCGGCCUAUCAGUUUGUUGGUGAGGUAAUGGCCCACCAAGACUAUUACAGGUACGGGCUCUGAGAGGAGUAGCCCGGAGAUGGGUACUGAGACACGGACCCAGGCCCUAUGGGGCGCAGCAGGCGAGAAAACUUUGCAAUGUGCGAAAGCACGACAAGGUUAAUCCGAGUGGUUUCUGCUAAAGAAACCUUUUGUCAGUCCUAGAAACACUAACGAAUAAGGGGUGGGCAAGUUCUGGUGUCAGCCGCCGCGGUAAAACCAGCACCUCAAGUGGUCAGGAUGAUUAUUGGGCCUAAAGCAUCCGUAGCUCGUUUUGUAAGUUUUCGGUUAAAUCCAUGCGCUUAACGUAUGGGCUGCCGGGAAUACUGCAUAACUAGGAAGUGGGAGAGGUAGACGGUACUCGGUAGGAAGGGGUAAAAUCCUUUGAUCUAUUGAUGACCACCUGUGGCGAAGGCGGUCUACCAGAACACGUUCGACGGUGAGGGAUGAAAGCUGGGGGAGCAAACCGGAUUAGAUACCCGGGUAGUCCCAGCUGUAAACUAUGCAAACUCAGUGAUGCAUUGGCUUAUGGCCAAUGCAGUGCUGCAGGGAAGCCGUUAAGUUUGCCGCCUGGGAAGUACGUACGCAAGUAUGAAACUUAAAGGAAUUGGCGGGGGAGCACCACAAGGGGUGAAGCCUGCGGUUCAAUUGGAUUCAACGCCGGGAAGGGC
RNAcentral lists this ribosomal RNA (870 nucleotides) under uncultured archaeon. Its description in RNAcentral is "bacterial SSU rRNA". It matches the Rfam family "Archaeal small subunit ribosomal RNA", at positions 51 to 928 of the family's 1478-position model. The record is from RNAcentral.